UUUUGAUCGCCAUCAUGGACAUUCAUUAACCUGAAUCCCUGAAUUUUCUGCUUACAAUGUGGCAGAUUGUAAGCUGUAAAAGUUUUAUAAAGAUCUGAAUUCAUCUUGAAUGAUGUCAUCCAGUGGUAGUCAUUUACAAGCUGUCAGUUCCUUGACAGGAAUAGUCCAGCCAUCUUUGCUUUCUGAUCAAAAUUCAGAAUCUCAACAGUUUACAAGUAGUCGGAAUCUCAGUCAGUUACAGGAAGUAGUCAAUCAAGUACAGAAAUCUCAAAACCAUGACAGUUCCCUAGAGGUAAAGAUGUCGGACCCUGUUAUAACGCUAUAUACAUCCAAAAAUGUCCAGUCACCUCAGAAACUGGUGGAACAACUUGCUAAAGAGAAAGGAUUCAUGAACAGUCCAAUUAUUAUUGUAGAAAACAUUUCUAAAGUUACAUCAGCUUCUUCCAUGACAACACCUACUACAUCAACGUCACAAUCACCACCAAACUUAUAUGUUUCCAUGCCAACACCAGAAUCGUCAGCUCAAACCUUACAAUCGUCUUUAUUGACUAGUCAGGAAGUUCAUAAAUGUGAAGAAUGUGAUUACUCUAGCCAUAACAAACAUUACCUAAAACAACAUGUAGAUCUGGUCCAUUGUGCUAGCAGACCAUAUAAAUGUCCCUUUUGUAAUUAUGCUGGAAAGCGUAGCCACUCCUUACGAGAGCAUCUGAUGGUUCAUUCAAAUGAGAGGCCUUUUGUUUGUACUCAUUGUAAUGCCACAUUUCGUAAGAAAGGACAUUUAACCAAUCAUGUUAAACUUCAUCAGAAGAUGGUGGCAUGCCCUAUAUGCAAAGUUUCCAUUUAUCAACCAGAUGUUGAACCACACAUGAAGUCUGUUCACAAUGUUGAUAAGCUGUAUGUGUGUGAUGUGUGUAGUUUCAUGGCUGUUAAUAAGACAGAGAUUGAAGAACAUUUGAAAUUACACAAGACUCAGUGCUCACAAAUGUAUGUGUGUGAAAUGUGUAAUCACAGGAGUAAGAGUUUUGAACAUUUUUGUGCACAUGCUGAAACACAUCGGGAGAGUAUAGAGGCACAGAAGAAAGCAGAAACAGUUGAAAAUAUGAAAAAUGAACCAGCUCAAAAUAUACCCAUUGAAAGAAAAAUGAUGAAAUGUUCUGAAUGUGGGUUUGUGUCUGGUGAUAUUUUGAAGAUGAAAGAGCACAUGCUUGUCCACAUUGAGCAGGAAGAGUCUGGUGAAAUGAAAAAACAUUCGUCUCCCACCUCAAAAGAAGUUGCAGAGAAUAUAAAGCCGCAACCUCAGACAACAACACCUGAAGGCAAGGCAGAAUACAAAUGUGUAGAAUGUGAAUUCUCUUGUAGUGAAGCCUAUGUUUUUGUAGUUCACAUGCUGACACAUAGGCCAGAUUUACAGAUUCACACAGACAAGUCACUGGAGUAUCCUGAACAAUCAAAACUUAAUCAAACACAGCCACAAAUCAUGAAUGAGAUGGUUGUGCAGCAGAAGAAAUUAGAUCAAAAGUUGCCCAUGUUACCCAAGACUAUAAAACUACAGAAAAUUCCAAAACCACCACAAGAUGCAGAAAGAAUACCUGCUGUCAAUUACCAGGAUAAAAAGCAAUUUGAAGGGAAGCCAGAACCAAUUAAUCCAGUUGUAACAAAUGAUACAAAUCAGGGCUCAGAAAGCUUGCCUUUUGUAUAUAACACAUCAAAUGCUAAAUUUCGGUGUACGAUUUGUGGUUAUACAUGUGACUAUCAGCGAACAAUCAAAGCUCAUAUCUGGAAACAUUCAGGAAAUAAAGAUAUUGAUUAUCCUAUGUUCCAGAAUGGUCCAUUGAGUAUUUAUGAAGAAAUAUUACUUCAACCAGGAGUAGAAGGAGAAAAACCAGUUGUAUCAACAGCAGUAUCAUCAGUCGAGAGCCAAGGAAGUAAUCUUCCUAUGUAUAACACAAAAACUGUAGUUUUUGAGAAAGCUCAGGAAAUUAACAAGAUGUCAUCUGUUAGCCCAGUGGCUCCAUUUCUGGCAAAUAUGUUAGCAAUGAGAGCCAAACAAAAAGAUACAAAUGGAGAAAAUGACAAUUUACCUUCCAACCAGCCGUCAUCAACAUCAGAUAGUAUCCAAGAGAUUUUGAUUCCUACACAAACUUCCACAGGAACAACUGUCAUUUCAGUAUUUUUGGACACAAUGCACACUUAUGAUAAAGGGAUUACGUCUUUACCACAGAAUCAUGCUGAGAAGGUAGUCUUUAUGUUACCAGACCAAGGACUGAUGAGUUCAAAGGUCACCACAGGACAAUUGGCACCUAGUUCUGUGCAAACUCUUAGUGUUACAGAUGGUCAAGAAAGUGAGACUUACAUUAACCAGCCUGAAGUUAUUCAACAAAAUGUUGAAGUUGAAACAGUCAGUUUGAAACGACAACCGGAGAACCUUGAAACCCAGAAAAUUUAUUCUUCAGAAGACAGGAAAAAUGUUGUUGUGGAAUCAGUGGAUAAUACAAAUCUUAUCAGCUACACAAGUAUAAAAAGUCAACAAAAUAGUCCUCGUGCAGUGUCUGAAGUCAGCCAGUCAGAACUAAGUGAUUCUGGUGUAGGAUCAGAUACUAAUACAGUUAUAGCAUCAACAAUGGAUAAACUAAUAAUAGAAACACUUCCAAGAUCAGAGGAAGACUUAAAAGAAAGCACAAUUUUUCAGGAUUUUGGGACAGAGGUUACAGUAUCAUCUGUUGAAUAUGACAAAAUGGAGGAAGUUAUUGACACUGAUGAUGAAACAUCAAGCAAUGAAAGUGACAUGGAGAUUGUAAAGGAAGAAGAAAAUACAAGGAAACGUAAACGUAUACCAUCGACUUCAAUGACCGAAUCAGCUGUUACUCUACUUUCACUUUUGAAAAAAGGACCAAAUGAAAAUCCUGCUUGUCCUAUGAGUUUAAAAUCAGAAUUUUCAGUGUCAGAUACUAACAUAGAAACAGAAACAGAGGACAAACCAAAGCAGGGUAUUUCGUCAUCAUUACUUGCUGUUAUUGAGCAACUAAGAGAAAGAUCAAAAACAGAAGCUGAACUCGAAGAAGUUCCAGGUGUGAAAAAAACAAGUAAGAAACGCAUGAAACGAGAAUUGUUGGAAGAUUUAACAGAAAUAGAAAAUAUGGGGAAUGUAGAACGAAGGGAGGAAGAAGGAGAAGUCAGAUAUCGUUGUAAGUUGUGUCAUUAUUCAAAUCUUAGCACAUUUGUUAUCAAACAGCAUAUGAGAUUACACAAAACUAAACAGCCUUUUGAAUGUUCUCUGUGCGAUUUUAUUGCUACCUCAAGUGAAUCACUACAGGAUCACAUGAUUCAGCAUUGUAAAGUUCGUACAUAUCAGUGCAAGUUAUGUACAUCAGCUUUUAAUUACAAAAGUCAGCUGAGAGCUCACAUGAGAGCUCAUACGGAAAAAGAGGUUUUUGUUUGUGAUGAUUGCGACUAUGAAACAACAAACCCGGUGAGUUACCGUAAUCAUGUUCGGGGUCACAAUGAAAAGAAACAAUACAAAUGUGAGGUUUGUGAUCGGAAAUUCAUUUCGAAAUAUGAACUAAAAAAUCACAAGAAACAACUGUGCAGUUACCAGAAAUCUUUUCAGUGUGAUGAGUGUGACUUUGUUGCCAUUGGUCCACAAGAACAAAAGCAGCAUGCAAAAAUUCAUAACAAAGAGUUCAAAUGUGCCAAAUGUGAAUAUAAUACUACCAGCAUUACUCGGUUUGAAAAUCAUGCUAAAAUUCAUGAUGAACCAAAAACACUUAAAUGUGAGCUGUGUGACUUCCCAGCAGUCUCAAACAGAAGUCUGAAAUCUCACAUGAAGCGACAUAUCAACGAUCAACGGUUUGUACAACAGCCAUUGGAGCAGUAUAAAUGUAAUAUCUGUGGUUAUGUCUGCCAUCAUCUACCAUCAUUAAAAUCCCACAUGUGGCGACAUGCUAGUGACCAGAAUUACAGUUAUGAAUUUACAAAUGAAGUUAUUAAUGCAGCUAUAGAUUAUGAUAGUAGACUUGAUACGUACGAAUGUCAGAAGGAUGAUAUUAGAGCCUUUUUCCAAACAAUUCGCCAAAAGUUAAAAGAUCGCUUGGAAGGUAUGAAUGCCACUGUUGAUCCACAAUCUGCUGCAUGCUGGGUAACAUUUAGGUGUUGCCAGUGUGGAUUUGAGACUAUUAACAAGGCAGAACUGAAUGUACAUAUGAAAAGUCAUUCUGAUAUUAUUAAAUGGACACUGCAAGUGAACGACAAACAGAAGAAAGAAAAGUUGUGAUGUAACUCUAUGCUGAAUCAAAAUAUAGCUGAAAUUUCACAGCUCAAACUUUCAGUAUUUCAAAUACAAAAAUAUUCAACUGUUUUUUUAUAUUUUUAUUUUUAUUUUUCCAACAAAGCAUUUUUCUAUUAAAUACCUUUAGAUUUUCAAAAAUAACACAUUCAUUUAUUCAGUGCCAAAAAAAAUGAAAACACAUUCUUUGGGCUCUAUCUAUGAAAAAGGAUUUAGAUAAGAUAAUUUUGAUAUCUUAUCAGAAAUGUAUUUUCCUAUCCUUUAUAUAAAGUUCCUCUUAGCAUGCUUAGAUUGAGUUAUUAGAGUUUUUCAGUGUAUUAUAAAACUUGUGUGUUAUGGUUUUUACAAUUUUCUGCAAUUGUUUUAGAACAUUGCAUAGGACUUUAAGAACCAAUAUAUAUAAAACUACUAUUAUAAUUUGUUUUAAUACUUGAUUAAUAGUAUUAUUUUCAAACUGCCAGUAAAAAAAGAGACUUGAUUUAUUUUCCAUAAAAUAUAUCACAUUUGAUUGAUUGCAAUAGUGUGAUUUUGGCAAUGAAUAUUUUUACAGUAACUUGAAAAAUAAAAAUUAAAUCAGCAUUGUUUUUUAGCCACAUGCAAAGUUUUGAAAUAAUUAAUGUAAUAUAUAAUUUUGUACAUACAAUGUAUGAUUAUUGUUUUAUCUGUAAAAUAUUGUGAAAUUUCACAUUUGGCUGAGUGCGGACUAAGUUUUAAUAAAUUCUUAGUUAAACAUAGUCAUGGAUAUAAUAUAACUAGCAAGCACUGCCAAAAAAUAUUUAUUCAUCUUUAUGUUUGAGAGUUCGGACUGAGUUCAAAUUUUAUUACAAUUUUAUUAUUCAAAGCCUUAAACUCAAUUAAUUAAGUUUUUAAUGAUCCUUAAGAUCUGUAAAAUUAAUAAUUUUUAUAGGAAUGACUAAAGAAGAGAGUGUCUUUACUUGCCAGUGUUAUGAAGAUGUAUAAUACACAUUUCAAUUUGUAUAAUUUUAGCCAGAGAGCUUUAAAAUUGUUAUAAUAUUUUGUUUAUUGGUGACACCAUUGAUAUUUUUUUCUUUAAAUAUGCUAUUUUGACAUUUAUGUUAAGAAUUACAAGUUUAUUAUCAAAGCUAAAUGAAUUCAUUUGCAUUUCACAUAGUUUUAAAUUAGGUUAUUUAAAAUAUUUAUGUUUAGAUAGGUAAAAAUAUUUUCUGAAGGCUUUAUAACUUUUAAAAUUAUACAAAUUAUCUCCCCUUUAUAAUUUGGAAUUUUAGAAUUUUUCACUCAAUGAGAUAUAAAGAUUGUCAAUUUAUGUAUCAAUUAACAAAUAUGUAGAUAGACAAUGCCCUGUUGUCAUAAUUAAAAUGUUUUGAAGUCUUGAAAUUUCCAAAAGGUGGAAAGUUGUCUCAUUGGCAGUCAUACCGCAUCUUCUUAUUUUUAUACCUAAGGGAGUAAAGACCAAUAUGAAAAAUAAAUUUUGAUUUGUCGUUGAAAUGCAGAUAAUCCUGUGUUAGUAUCAGAGGAACUCGCAGUUUCUAGUUGAAUUUUUUUUAAAAUCAUGCAAACCGAACAUAGCCAAGGCUCCGUGUUGAAGGCUGUACUUUGACCUAUAGUUAUUAACUUUUUGUACGACCGCAAAAAUUGAAAAUUUUUUGGUCGUAUAUUGGUAUGACGUUGGCGUCGACGUCGUCGUCGUCGUCGGCGUCGUCGUCUGGCGUCGUCCGGCGUCGGCCGAAGACACAUUGGUUUUCGCACUCUAACUUUAGUUUAAGUGAAUGGAUCUCCAUGAAAUUUUACCAUAAGGUUCAAUACCACAAAAGGAAGGUUGGGAUUGAUUUUGGGGGUUAUGGUACCAACAGUAAAGGAAUUAGGGGCCAAAAAGGGGCCAAAAAUAAGCAUUUUUGUAACUUCCAGACAUAACUUGUGUGUUAGUGUAUGGAUCUCUCUGACAUUGUACCACAAGGUUCCAUAUCACAAAAGGAAUGCUGGGAUUGAUUUUGGGGGUAAUUGCCUCAAAAUUUUAGGAAUUAGGGGCCAAAAAAGGGGCAAAAAACAAGCAUUUUUCUAGUUUCAUGACAAUAACUUGUGUGUAAGUGUAUGGAUCUUUCUGAAAUUGUACUACAAGGUUCCAUAUCACAAAGGGAAAGCUGGAAUUGAGUUUGGGGGUAAUUGCCUAAAACGUUAAGGAAUAAGGGGCCAAAAAUAAGCAUUUUUAUACGACCGCCAAAAAAUUUUGUGGUCUUAUACUGGUAUGACGUUGGCGUCGUCGUCGUCGUCCGAAGACACAUUAGUUUUCGCACUCUAACUUUAGUUUAAGUGAAUGGAUCUUUUUGAAAUUUGACCAUAAGGUUAAAUACCACAAAAGGAAGGUUGGGAUUGAUUUUGGGGGUUAUGGUACCAACAGUUAAGGAAUUAGGGGCCAAAAAGGGGCCAAAAAUAAGCAUUUUCUAGUUUCCAGACAAUAACUGUGGAACGGUGUAUGGAUCUCUCUGAAAUUAUACUACAAGUUUCCAUACCACAAAGGGAUGGUUAGGAUUUGCUUUGGGGGGUUAUGGCUCAAACCGUUUAGGACUUAGGGGCAAAAAAGGGGGAAAAACAGGGUUGUCCUGGUUAAUGGACAAAUACUUCAGUACAAAACAUAAUUUAAAGCAGUGUAAGGGAGAUAAAUCAAAUACAUCAUUGAAAUUAUCUCCCUUACACUGCUUUUAAAUUAUGUAUAAAGUAAUGGUUAAUGAACAAUAAAGAUAAUUUAAAACAGUGUAAGGGAGGUAAUCCAAAUACAACAUUUUGGUUACUUCCCUUACACUGCUUUUAAAUUAUGUUUAAAGAAAUGCAUAUUUAUAAAGGAAGACCAGUAAAAAUAUUUGCAAAUGUUGCAUCUUUUUUUUUUACAAAAAAAUCCAUAUGAAAGAUUUGACACUAUAUUUUUAAUUCUAUUAUAAAAUAGAUUAAGUUAGCACUAUGGUAAAUUUAAAUGGGUAAUUAUGGUUGCCAACUCCAUUGGAAAUUUGAAUUGAGAUUAUGACCAUAUCUUGA
Mytilus californianus (California mussel) is the source of this 7291-nucleotide RNA transcript. It is a transcript of the gene named zinc finger protein 507-like, with no coding region annotated. The transcript is spliced from 4 exons. NCBI's taxonomy places the organism in Eukaryota, Metazoa, Mollusca, Bivalvia, Mytilida, Mytilidae. The record is from RefSeq and is a predicted model, not a curated record.